This 292-nucleotide ribosomal RNA is filed under the name uncultured bacterium. Its description in RNAcentral is "partial 16S ribosomal RNA". It matches the Rfam family "Bacterial small subunit ribosomal RNA", at positions 505 to 796 of the family's 1533-position model. The record is from RNAcentral.
GUGUCAGCAGCCGCGGUAAUACGGAGGGUGCGAGCGUUGUCCGGAUUUAUUGGGUUUAAAGGGUGCGUAGGUGGCUGUUUAAGUCAGUGGUGAAAUACGGUUGCUCAACAAUCGAGGUGCCAUUGAUACUGAAUAGCUUGAAAUAAUUGGAGGCUGCCGGAAUGGAUGGUGUAGCGGUGAAAUGCAUAGAUAUCAUCCAGAACACCGAUUGCGAAGGCAGGUGGCUACGAUUGGUUUGACACUGAGGCACGAAAGCAUGGGGAGCAAACAGGAUUAGAAACCCUCGUAGUCC